UACAGAGGUCUCAAGCGUUGUUCGGAUUCAUUGGGCGUAAAGGGUGCGUAGGUGGCGCUGUAAGUCGGGUGUGAAAUUUCGGAGCUUAACUCCGAAACUGCAUUCGAUACUGCGGUGCUUGAGGACUGGAGAGGAGACUGGAAUUCAUGGUGUAGCAGUGAAAUGCGUAGAUAUCAGGAGGAACACCGGUGGCGAAGGCGGGUCUCUGGGCCGAUACUGACGCUGAGGAGCGAAAGCGUGGGGAGCGAACAGG
RNAcentral lists this ribosomal RNA (253 nucleotides) under uncultured bacterium. RNAcentral's name for it is "partial 16S ribosomal RNA". It matches the Rfam family "Bacterial small subunit ribosomal RNA", at positions 524 to 776 of the family's 1533-position model. The record is from RNAcentral.